Molecule: long non-coding RNA, 2878 nt
Organism: Gasterosteus aculeatus aculeatus (three-spined stickleback)
Lineage: Eukaryota; Metazoa; Chordata; Actinopteri; Perciformes; Gasterosteidae
Source: Ensembl
CAGAAGUAAACUCGGGGAAACUGUCUGACCGGUUUGCUCCUUCAAUGCUUCUUGAAUUGCAUUAAGACCACAUUUGUGCAUCCGAGGCUGAGGCCCUUCUAUUGUGUUGCUCUUUGGUGGGGUAUAAAUAUGAUUAUCUGAACAUAGAAUGGGCGGCGGCUCCCUGACAAAUGACCCGCAUUAUCUAAUACACAGGGCAGCCCUAAUUAGCGAGGAGAUACAGAGACUUGUUAUCGCACUAGAAUGUCAAAUCUGCUUUAUUAAAAUGAAGCUAAAUUACAUUCUUAGUUUUGUACUACAGCUUCCAUCAAUCAGCAUAUUUUGAAAAUUAGCUGGUGCAAGUGCAAACUGCACGUAUCCGCUUAAUGGUCAGUUUGAAUCUGCUCUUCCUUUUCGCUCUUCAGCAGCUCCUCGUGACUCGCGUCUCCCUUCCUUCUCGGCCCCCCAUCACCUCCAUCACACUUACGCUCCGCUGUUGAGCUCCUCUUUUAUUUCCCAGUGCUUUGUUUGGCCUCCUCUCACAUCCACUGUGUACAGCAGCAGAAACGGAGGGCGGAGGGGGCUUCAGUCCCAUCAGCGUCUGUGUAGAAGUCCCUUAGAGUGAGGAACGAGGCCACACUCGGAGGGACAAUAGAGUGUUUUCCUCAGCGGGCGGGUAUUACCAGGUUUUAGAAGCUGUCACACUGUGUUACACAUAAAUGGCUUUCGCGGUUCGCAUUUUCUGCACCAACGGGGUCGGUUCCGUGUUCUCUCCUGUCUUACAGCGGGCAUCGUCUUCUUCGGGAGUCACCGCGCGGGACAAAAAGCACUUAGGAAGAAAACAAGGGCUGAGUGGGCCGCUGUAUUCCAGCUUAUGAAACCUGUAUGAGGAGGAACAGCAGGUCACAAGGCCUUUGAAAAGGUAAAUAAACGGACAGAGAACCUUCCCUGAAAGAAACGGUUCAGAUCAGUCACUGAUAACUCUGGGUGUGGCGGGGGGGGGGGGGGGGGGCGGUUAGAAUCUAAAGGGGCCAGAGGUGUGAGAUGGGGAGAGACGGCAGGACAGGUGGACGGACGUCGGGAGGAAAGAGGAGUUAAAGACGAAGACGCUGUGAAACGGAGAAAAGCCAAAACUUAUUUCACUCAAAUCUCAAAUGCAAAGACUGGCUUGGUAGAGGAGGGGGAGGGGGGGGGGGGGCUUGAAUCCUAAGCAGCCAUACAUUUCCCAUGAUGCUCGGCUAGGCCCAAGCGGGAGCUGCUACAACCGAUGUGAAGGGAAUAUUACAGGGCUCCCAAACAAAACUAAUAAGACUGCCAAUGUCUACAAAAUGACAUUCCCGUAUGAUUAACAUGGACGCUCCUCUCCUGGGUGAAAGUCCGCUGUGUUGUUUUCAUUUUUUUCCUGCCUUAAACACGUCAAAAAACAGGACUGACGUUGCACUCGCUUUGCAUGGGAGGAGAACAGGGUGAAGAGAAGAAGGAGGAGAAGACGCAUGAGGGAGAACGAUGUUAUGAAAAUUGAAUGUUCAAACGCACAAAAGACGCGCACUCGCCGCGUGAGUGACGCGUGCAGAUGCUCCUGCGAGAGUCGAGCACGCAUGCACAUGGCGGAGAGCCAUCAGCGGCGCACACAUCUGUGCAGACAUCUCCGCUCUGCAGGCGAUUCGUUUGCAGCGCCGUGACAGCACGGGAUCUGGGCUCUUUAUUGUCACUGCGGUGCUGUUUUUCUCAUUGAUGCACUUUAUUUCGUGCAAAGCGUUACGUUAUAAUGAAAGGUGCCACAGAAAUAUUAUUCAGGAAGCGAGGUAAAGAGGGAAGGAGGGACGGAAGGGGGGAGGGAAGAGGGGAUGAGGCGGGAUGAGGCCGGGAUGAGGCCGGGAUGAGUAUGAGACCGGGAUGAGGCCGGUAUGAGUAUGAGGCCGGGAUGAGUAUGAGAACAGGAUGAGGCCGGGAUGAGUAUGAGGCCGGGAUGAGUAUGAGAACAGGAUGAGGCCGGGAUGAGUAUGAGAACGGGAUGAGGCCGGGAUGAGUAUGAGGCCGGGGAUGAGUAUGAGAACAGGAUGAGGCCGGUAUGAGUAUGAGGCCGGGAUGAGUAUGAGAACGGGAUGAGGCCGGGAUGAGACCGGGAUGAGGCUCGGAUGAGGCCGGGAUAAGGCCGGGAUGAGACCGGGAUGAGGCCGGGAUGAGUAUGAGAACGGGAUGAGGCCGGGAUGAGGCCGGGAUGAGGCUCGGAUGAGGCCGGGAUAAGGCCGGGAUAAGGCCGGGAUGAGACCGGGAUGAGGCCGGGAUGAGUAUGAGGCCAGGAUGAGGCCGGGAUGAGGCCGCGCUUGUUCCGGCUCCAUCGCCGCGCAGCUGAAAAGUGCUGUCAAUUACAGCAAAGUGUUCCGCUGCACAGCCGGCGUGCACAAGCCCACGCGUGUGCUUUUCAUUCUUCAAUUUUAAAUAUACUUGGUAUGGUAAAUGGUAAAGGGGUGUGCGGGGGGGGGGGGGGGGGCACUAUACUAGACUAUAUAGGAAGCCAUUACUUUGGGCUGAAAGCCACCCAGGUAUUGCUGCUAGAAGAGGAGGGCCGGCCAUUCGUACCAACAACACAUUACCGGAGAAGGAGGAGCUCACUCUGCUGUACAUGUGCAAAAAGAAAGGGAGAUAAAGUAACAUACUGCACUGAGUAAAGAGGGACUGAGGGAGGGAAGGAUUCCUCUGAAAAAUGAGGUGACAGAAAGCUUUUUACGGGUGGGCAGGCAAUUUUCAAAUGUCUGAGGCCUCUCUGCAAAGCCACUUUACGUGGUGGCAAAUGUUAAACUUGUUCUGGGCGCAUCAAGGUCCCCUUGGCCGCCUGCUCGUCUUCGCCAGGAAUAUAAAUACGGCCUGAGAUGUGUGUGUGAGGGGGGUCUGGGGG